This 394-nucleotide ribosomal RNA is filed under the name uncultured bacterium. RNAcentral's name for it is "bacterial SSU rRNA". It matches the Rfam family "Bacterial small subunit ribosomal RNA", at positions 30 to 426 of the family's 1533-position model. The record is from RNAcentral.
AUUGAACGCUGGCGGCAUGCCUUACACAUGCAAGUCGAACGGCAGCGGACCUUCGGGUGCCGGCGAGUGGCGAACGGGUGAGUAAUAUAUCGGAACGUACCUUUCAGUGGGGGAUAACGUAGGCGAAAGUUACGCUAAUACCGCAUAUUCUGUGAGCAGGAAAGCAGGGGAUCGCGAAGACCUUGCGCUGAUUGAGCGGCCGAUAUCAGAUUAGCUAGUUGGUGAGGUAAAGGCUCACCAAGGCGACGAUCUGUAGCGGGUCUGAGAGGAUGAUCCGCCACACUGGAACUGAGACACGGUCCAGACUCCUACGGGAGGCAGCAGUGGGGAAUUUUGGACAAUGGGCGCAAGCCUGAUCCAGCCAUGCCGCGUGAGUGAAGAAGGCCUCGGUUGG